RNAcentral lists this ribosomal RNA (492 nucleotides) under uncultured bacterium. RNAcentral's name for it is "partial 16S ribosomal RNA". It matches the Rfam family "Bacterial small subunit ribosomal RNA", at positions 29 to 507 of the family's 1533-position model. The record is from RNAcentral.
AGUGAACGCUGGCGGUAGGCCUAACACAUGCAAGUCGAACGGCAGCACAGUAAGAGCUUGCUCUUACGGGUGGCGAGUGGCGGACGGGUGAGGAAUACAUCGGAAUCUACUUUUUCGUGGGGGAUAACGUAGGGAAACUUACGCUAAUACCGCAUACGACCUACGGGUGAAAGCAGGGGGUCUUCGGACCUUGCGCGAUUGAAUGAGCCGAUGUCGGAUUAGCUAGUUGGCGGGGUAAAGGCCCACCAAGGCGACGAUCCGUAGCUGGGCUGAGAGGAUGAUCAGCCACACUGGAACUGAGACACGGUCCAGACUCCUACGGGAGGCAGCAGUGGGGAAUAUUGGACAAUGGGCGGAAGCCUGAUCCAGCCAUACCGCGUGGGUGAAGAAGACCUUCGGGUUGUAAAGCCCUUUUGUUGGGAAAGAAAAGCAGCAGGUUAAUACCCCGCUGUUCUGACGGUACCCAAAGAAUAAGCACCGGCUAACUUCGUG